RNAcentral lists this ribosomal RNA (2324 nucleotides) under Escherichia coli KTE202. Its description in RNAcentral is "bacterial LSU rRNA". It matches the Rfam family "Bacterial large subunit ribosomal RNA", at positions 1 to 2351 of the family's 2925-position model. Lineage: Bacteria; Pseudomonadati; Pseudomonadota; Gammaproteobacteria; Enterobacterales; Enterobacteriaceae. The record is from RNAcentral.
UUAAGCGACUAAGCGUACACGGUGGAUGCCCUGGCAGUCAGAGGCGAUGAAGGACGUGCUAAUCUGCGAUAAGCGUCGGUAAGGUGAUAUGAACCGUUAUAACCGGCGAUUUCCGAAUGGGGAAACCCAGUGUGAUUCGUCACACUAUCAUUAACUGAAUCCAUAGGUUAAUGAGGCGAACCGGGGGAACUGAAACAUCUAAGUACCCCGAGGAAAAGAAAUCAACCGAGAUUCCCCCAGUAGCGGCGAGCGAACGGGGAGGAGCCCAGAGCCUGAAUCAGUGUGUGUGUUAGUGGAAGCGUCUGGAAAGGCGCGCGAUACAGGGUGACAGCCCCGUACACAAAAAUGCACAUGCUGUGAGCUCGAUGAGUAGGGCGGGACACGUGGUAUCCUGUCUGAAUAUGGGGGGACCAUCCUCCAAGGCUAAAUACUCCUGACUGACCGAUAGUGAACCAGUACCGUGAGGGAAAGGCGAAAAGAACCCCGGCGAGGGGAGUGAAAAAGAACCUGAAACCGUGUACGUACAAGCAGUGGGAGCCUCUUUAUGGGGUGACUGCGUACCUUUUGUAUAAUGGGUCAGCGACUUAUAUUCUGUAGCAAGGUUAACCGAAUAGGGGAGCCGAAGGGAAACCGAGUCUUAACUGGGCGUUAAGUUGCAGGGUAUAGACCCGAAACCCGGUGAUCUAGCCAUGGGCAGGUUGAAGGUUGGGUAACACUAACUGGAGGACCGAACCGACUAAUGUUGAAAAAUUAGCGGAUGACUUGUGGCUGGGGGUGAAACGCCAAUCAAACCGGGAGAUAGCUGGUUCUCCCCGAAAGCUAUUUAGGUAGCGCCUCGUGAAUUCAUCUCCGGGGGUAGAGCACUGUUUCGGCAAGGGGGUCAUCCCGACUUACCAACCCGAUGCAAACUGCGAAUACCGGAGAAUGUUAUCACGGGAGACACACGGCGGGUGCUAACGUCCGUCGUGAAGAGGGAAACAACCCAGACCGCCAGCUAAGGUCCCAAAGUCAUGGUUAAGUGGGAAACGAUGUGGGAAGGCCCAGACAGCCAGGAUGUUGGCUUAGAAGCAGCCAUCAUUUAAAGAAAGCGUAAUAGCUCACUGGUCGAGUCGGCCUGCGCGGAAGAUGUAACGGGGCUAAACCAUGCACCGAAGCUGCGGCAGCGACGCUUAUGCGUUGUUGGGUAGGGGAGCGUUCUGUAAGCCUGCGAAGGUGUACUGUGAGGUAUGCUGGAGGUAUCAGAAGUGCGAAUGCUGACAUAAGUAACGAUAAAGCGGGUGAAAAGCCCGCUCGCCGGAAGACCAAGGGUUCCUGUCCAACGUUAAUCGGGGCAGGGUGAGUCGACCCCUAAGGCGAGGCCGAAAGGCGUAGUCGAUGGGAAACAGGUUAAUAUUCCUGUACUUGGUGUUACUGCGAAGGGGGGACGGAGAAGGCUAUGUUGGCCGGGCGACGGUUGUCCCGGUUUAAGCGUGUAGGCUGGUUUUCCAGGCAAAUCCGGAAAAUCAAGGCUGAGGCGUGAUGACGAGGCACUACGGUGCUGAAGCAACAAAUGCCCUGCUUCCAGGAAAAGCCUCUAAGCAUCAGGUAACAUCAAAUCGUACCCCAAACCGACACAGGUGGUCAGGUAGAGAAUACCAAGGCGCUUGAGAGAACUCGGGUGAAGGAACUAGGCAAAAUGGUGCCGUAACUUCGGGAGAAGGCACGCUGAUACGUAGGUGAAGUCCCUUGCGGAUGGAGCUGAAAUCAGUCGAAGAUACCAGCUGGCUGCAACUGUUUAUUAAAAACACAGCACUGUGCAAACACGAAAGUGGACGUAUACGGUGUGACGCCUGCCCGGUGCCGGAAGGUUAAUUGAUGGGGUUAGCGGUAACGCGAAGCUCUUGAUCGAAGCCCCGGUAAACGGCGGCCGUAACUAUAACGGUCCUAAGGUAGCGAAAUUCCUUGUCGGGUAAGUUCCGACCUGCACGAAUGGCGUAAUGAUGGCCAGGCUGUCUCCACCCGAGACUCAGUGAAAUUGAACUCGCUGUGAAGAUGCAGUGUACCCGCGGCAAGACGGAAAGACCCCGUGAACCUUUACUAUAGCUUGACACUGAACAUUGAGCCUUGAUGUGUAGGAUAGGUGGGAGGCUUUGAAGUGUGGACGCCAGUCUGCAUGGAGCCGACCUUGAAAUACCACCCUUUAAUGUUUGAUGUUCUAACGUUGGCCCCUAAUCGGGGUUGCGGACAGUGUCUGGUGGGUAGUUUGACUGGGGCGGUCUCCUCCUAAAGAGUAACGGAGGAGCACGAAGGUUGGCUAAUCCUGGUCGGACAUCAGGAGGUUAGUG